AUGAAAGCUCAACAAAACAAACUAAGUGGGUGUGCAUCAACUUGCUUGCUUACGAGCGAGUUAGUAGCAGUAGGUGGCAAAGUGGCUUUGUUACCUAUUCCAUUAGGAACCGCAGAUUUUUUAGUCCAUCAUGCAUUUACCAUACAUGUGACUGUAUUAAUACUUUUGAAAGGUGUUUUAUUUGCUCAGAGUUCCUGUUUGAUACCCGAUAAAGCAAAUAUAGGUUUUCGCUUUCCUUGCGAUGGGCCUGGCCGAGGGGGAACAUGUAAAGUAUCCGCCUGGCACUUUUUUUGA
Molecule: ribosomal RNA, 294 nt
Filed under: Triticum aestivum (bread wheat)
Lineage: Eukaryota; Viridiplantae; Streptophyta; Magnoliopsida; Poales; Poaceae
Description: partial small subunit ribosomal RNA
Source: RNAcentral